UUCAACGUGUCUGAGAACAGCUGAGCGCCACUGUGGCCCCUCUGAGACUGUGCCAUGGCUGCCAAUUUGUCCUGCAUUUUCCCAGCACUGCAUCUUUUUGGGGUCUUGGUGCUAUUGCUGUGCCCUUCCUGCUUGUGUGACUGCAACAUGUUUCCUAGCAUUGCCCAUGGAUCCUAUGAAGAUGUGAGUUCAAUUUUUUCCUUUACUACUGUGGUGCAGUAUAAAUGUGAUGAAGGAUAUGUUCUGGUUGGAGAAGAAAAAAUCACCUGCAGAAAUUCACAUUGGUCAUCUCUAGUUCCUCAGUGUAAAGCUCUGUGUCUGAAACCAGAGAUAAAAGAUGGAACUGUGUCUCUGGACCAGGAUCAGUAUGUUGAGCCUGAAAAUGUCACUGUCCAGUGUGACUCUGGCUAUAGGGUGGUCGGCUCUCCGAGUAUCAUCUGCUCAGAGAACAGAACCUGGUACCCAGAAGUGCCCAAGUGUGAGUGGAUAUUUUCAGGUGACAUCUGAGAUUUUUGAGCUUCGGUUGGUGCACGAUUGGUUGUCAACACUUACCAUGAGGCCUUUGUCAGGGAGCAAGUCCCCAGUUCUGUACCUCUUUGGGAUUCUGACCGUGCUCCUCUGCCCCGCCAGCCUACAUGAAAGCAUUUACCACGAGUUUCCAUUUGGAAAGCAAAUUCUCUAGUUCUUUCAACGUAUUUAAAAUGUCCCCCUUUCAGCAGCAUACUUAUUGCAUCAAAGGAGGUAAGGCAUGGUUUUAGUUUUGAUGCUAGUUUUAUUUUAUUGGAGGGUAAUGACUACCUAUCCUCUAUGUAUUUGGGAGUGGGGGCUGUGAGGAAGCAGUGGAAAAUAGUGAGACCUGUUAAUUUUUCCAUGAGAUCAUUUUUCCCUUGACAUGCAAUUUGAUGCUUAACAAUUUUUCUGAAAGUCAAAAGGAAUACUAUGUUCUCUAAUUUUCACAGUGCUAUAAAUAGUCCCUGACAAAGCAUAAUUGUAUAAAAGAGAUGACACUUUUUUUUAUACAUCUUUAUUGGAGUAUAAUUGCUUUACAGUGUUGUGUUAGUUUCUGCUGUACAACAAAGUGAAUCAGCUAUAUGCGUACAUAUAUCCCCAUAUACCCUUCCUCUUGACAAAGCGUUUUAAUACUUUUAGGUUUAUUCUAUUAUUAUUACUAGAGAAAGACAAAACAGCUGUUUUGUAUGAAUUCCUCGGGGUCUGCUCUAGUAAACAGAUAAUGAAUUGUGGGGAUGAAAUGUACAGCAUGGGGAAUAUAGUCAACAAUAUUGUAAUAACCUUGUAUGGUGACAGAUGGUAACUAGAUUUAUCAUGGUGAGCAUUUUGUAAUGUAAAGAAAUAUGUUGUGCACCUGGACCUAACAUAAUGUUGAGGUCGAUUAUCCUUCAAUUAAAAAAAAGAGAAUGAAUUGCAAGUAACUUCACUUUCUUAUAUAUAAAUAUGAGCUCACAAAU
Molecule: RNA transcript, 1466 nt
Organism: Balaenoptera musculus (blue whale)
Lineage: Eukaryota; Metazoa; Chordata; Mammalia; Artiodactyla; Balaenopteridae
Gene name: apolipoprotein R-like
Exons: 5
Source: RefSeq, a predicted model, not a curated record